This 364-nucleotide ribosomal RNA is filed under the name Tsukamurella pseudospumae. RNAcentral's name for it is "bacterial LSU rRNA". It matches the Rfam family "Bacterial large subunit ribosomal RNA", at positions 1 to 346 of the family's 2925-position model. The record is from RNAcentral. Lineage: Bacteria; Bacillati; Actinomycetota; Actinomycetes; Mycobacteriales; Tsukamurellaceae.
GUGUUGUAAGUGUCUAAGGGCGCACGGUGGAUGCCUUGGCGCAAGGAGCCGAUGAAGGACGUGGGAGGCUGCGAUAUGCCUCGGGGAGCUGUCAACCGAGCUGUGAUCCGAGGAUUUCCGAAUGGGGAAACCCAGCACCAGUCAUGUGGUGUUACCCGCCGUUGAAUAUAUAGACGGUGUGGAGGGAACGAGGGGAAGUGAAACAUCUCAGUACCCUCAGGAAGAGAAAACAAUAGUGAUUCCGUGAGUAGUGGCGAGCGAAAGCGGAUGAGGCUAAACCAUGCACAUGUGAUACCGGGUAGGGGUUGUGUGUGUGGUGUUGUGGGGUUCAUCUUUCCAGCUCUACCUGGCUGGACAGCAGUGA